CGAACGCUGGCGGCGUGCUUAACACAUGCAAGUCGAACGAAAAGAGGGGAAGAGCUUGCUCUUUUCAGAAUUGAGUGGCAAACAGGUGAGUAACACGUAAACAACCUGCCUUCAGGAUGGGGACAACAGACGGAAACGACUGCUAAUACCGAAUAAGUUCCAAGAGCCGCAUGGCCCAUGGAAGAAAAGGUGGCCUCUACCUGUAAGCUAUCGCCUGAAGAGGGGUUUGCGUCUGAUUAGCUGGUUGGAGGGGUAACGGCCCACCAAGGCGACGAUCAGUAGCCGGUCUGAGAGGAUGAACGGCCACACUGGAACUGAGACACGGUCCAGACUCCUACGGGAGGCAGCAGUGGGGAAUCUUCCGCAAUGGGCGAAAGCCUGACGGAGCAACGCCGCGUGAGUGAUGACGGCCUUCGGGUUGUAAAACUCUGUGAUCCGGGACGAAAAGGCAGAGUGCGAAGAACAAACUGCAUUGACGGUACCGGAAAAGCAAGCCACGGCUAACUACGUG
RNAcentral lists this ribosomal RNA (511 nucleotides) under uncultured bacterium. RNAcentral describes it as "bacterial SSU rRNA". It matches the Rfam family "Bacterial small subunit ribosomal RNA", at positions 30 to 507 of the family's 1533-position model. The record is from RNAcentral.